This 249-nucleotide ribosomal RNA is filed under the name uncultured bacterium. RNAcentral describes it as "partial 16S ribosomal RNA". It matches the Rfam family "Bacterial small subunit ribosomal RNA", at positions 103 to 353 of the family's 1533-position model. The record is from RNAcentral.
CGGGUGNGUAAUGUCUGGGAAACUGCCUGAUGGAGGGGGAUAACUACUGGAAACGGUAGCUAAUACCGCAUAACGUCGCAAGACCAAANAGGGGGACCUUCGGGCCUCUUGCCAUCGGAUGUGCCCAGAUGGGAUUAGCUUGUUGGUGGGGUAACGGCUCACCAAGGCGACGAUCCCUAGCUGGUCUGAGAGGAUGACCAGCCACACUGGAACUGAGACACGGUCCAGACUCCUACGGGAGGCAGCAUG